Molecule: transfer RNA, 77 nt
Filed under: Clostridium sp.
Lineage: Bacteria; Bacillati; Bacillota; Clostridia; Eubacteriales; Clostridiaceae
Also listed under: 1 other name
Description: tRNA-Arg
Rfam family: tRNA
About the family: Transfer RNA (tRNA) molecules are approximately 80 nucleotides in length. Their secondary structure includes four short double-helical elements and three loops (D, anti-codon, and T loops).
Source: RNAcentral
GCGCUCGUAGCUCAGCAGGAUAGAGCAUCCCCCUCCUAAGGGGAAGGCCGGAGGUUCGACUCCUCUCGCGCGCACCA